Molecule: ribosomal RNA, 427 nt
Filed under: uncultured prokaryote
Description: bacterial SSU rRNA
Rfam family: Bacterial small subunit ribosomal RNA
Source: RNAcentral
GCUCAGAGUGAACGCUGGCGGCGUGCUUAACACAUGCAAGUCGAACGGUAACAGCAGUGCUUGCACUGGCUGACGAGUGGCGAACGGGUGAGUAAUGUAUAGUUAAUUUGCCUCUUGGAGAGGGAUAGCCAUUGGAAACGAUGAUUAAUACCUCAUACUCCUUACAUAGUAAAUAUGUAAGGGAAAUGCUUUUGUGCCAAGAGAUAAGACUAUAUCCUAUCAGCUAGUUGGUGGUGUAAUGGACCACCAAGGCAAUGACGGGUAGCUGGUUUGAGAGGAUGAUCAGCCACACUGGAACUGAGACACGGUCCAGACUCCUACGGGAGGCAGCAGUGGGGAAUAUUGCACAAUGGAGGAAACUCUGAUGCAGCAACGCCGCGUGGAGGAUGACGCAUUUCGGUGUGUAAACUCCUUUUAUAUGGGAAGA